RNAcentral lists this ribosomal RNA (379 nucleotides) under uncultured bacterium. RNAcentral's name for it is "bacterial SSU rRNA". It matches the Rfam family "Bacterial small subunit ribosomal RNA", at positions 790 to 1167 of the family's 1533-position model. The record is from RNAcentral.
GUAGUCCACGCCCUAAACGAUGUCAACUAGGUGUUGGGAGGGUAAAACCUUUUAGUACCGUAGCUAACGCGAGAAGUUGACCGCCUGGGGAGUACGGCCGCAAGGUUAAAACUCAAAGGAAUUGACGGGGACCCGCACAAGCGGUGGAUGAUGUGGAUUAAUUCGAUGCAACGCGAAAAACCUUACCUACCCUUGACAUGUCAGGAACUUGCCAGAGAUGGCUUGGUGCCCGAAAGGGAACCUGAACACAGGUGCUGCAUGGCUGUCGUCAGCUCGUGUCGUGAGAUGUUGGGUUAAGUCCCGCAACGAGCGCAACCCUUGUCGUUAAUUGCCAUCAUUCAGUUGGGCACUUUAACGAGACUGCCGGUGACAAACCGGA